This 628-nucleotide ribosomal RNA is filed under the name Endoperplexa enodulosa. RNAcentral's name for it is "eukaryotic LSU rRNA". It matches the Rfam family "Eukaryotic large subunit ribosomal RNA", at positions 49 to 662 of the family's 3401-position model. Lineage: Eukaryota; Fungi; Basidiomycota; Agaricomycetes; Auriculariales; Exidiaceae. The record is from RNAcentral.
AGCGGAGGAAAAGAAACUAACAAGGAUUCCCCUAGUAACGGCGAGUGAAGCGGGAAGAGCUCAAAUUUAAAAUCUGGCGGUCUACGGCUGUCCGAGUUGUAAUCUAGAGAGGUGUUUUCCGUGCCGGACCGUGUAAAAGUCCCUUGGAACAGGGCGUCAUAGAGGGUGAGAAUCCCGUCCAUGACACGGACUACCGGUGCUCUGUGAUACACCUUCAAAGAGUCGAGUUGUUUGGGAAUGCAGCUCAAAAUGGGUGGUAAAUUCCAUCUAAAGCUAAAUAUAGGCGAGAGACCGAUAGCGAACAAGUACCGUGAGGGAAAGAUGAAAAGAACUUUGGAAAGAGAGUUAAACAGUACGUGAAAUUGUUAAAAGGGAAACGCUUGAAGUCAGUCGCGUCUGCUGGGACUCAACCUUGCUUUUGCCUGGUGUACUUCUCAGUAGAUGGGCCAGCAUCAAUUUCGGGCGCCGGAAAAGGAUUUGAGGAAUGUGGCAGCUUGCUGUGUUAUAGCCUCUUGUCGUACACGGUGCUUGGGAUUGAGGACUGCAGCACGCCUUUUGGUCGGGGUUCGCCCACGCCACGUGCUUAGGAUGCUGGCGUAAUGGCUUUAAACGACCCGUCUUGAAACAC